Oncorhynchus tshawytscha (Chinook salmon) is the source of this 1735-nucleotide long non-coding RNA. The record is from Ensembl. NCBI's taxonomy places the organism in Eukaryota, Metazoa, Chordata, Actinopteri, Salmoniformes, Salmonidae.
UAUAUAAAGAGAGAUCAUCAUCACAUUAUUAAUUUUAAAACAUUUUGACGUUGUGACACAGACAGAAUUAAGCCCCUCCUCCCCGUGUCUGUAGUCCUUGUGAUUGGCUACAAUAUGCAUAGAUACAGGGAUCAGCUUUAUGGUUCAGUCCCACUGACGUCACACACACACACACACACACACACACACACACACACACACACACACACACACACACACACACUGGGAGGACAGUGGCGAGGAGGAGGAGGAAGCACGCCGAUUUCUCUACCUUUUCGUAAGACAGCAUUUUUGGGGGGGGGUGAAACCGCUGAGCUCUUCCAAGCAGGUACAAACUAACUCACACAACCAGAAGUCGUUUCAGUGCUAGAAGAUGGAUGCAUCCGACAAGGAGAGAAUCUGGGGAGACACUGGCUCCAUUUCAGGUCUAACCAGAACCACACCAGAACCACGGGUCAGGACACUGACCGACCCCACACCAGAUCUACGGUCAGGACACUGACCGACCCCACACCAGAUCUACAGUCAGGACACUGACCGACCUACACCAGAUCUACAGUCAGGACACUGACCGACCUACACCAGAUCUAGUCAGGACACUGACCGACCCCACUCCAGAUCAGAACAUGGUUCCCAGAGUUUCAGCAUCGUCUUCGUCCUCUAUAGAGUUGUGGUAUAGAUUUUUUUCAUUUUUUAACAUUUAUUUAUUUAUUUUUAUAUUUUUUUUCUAGCGAUUUUAUUUAAUUUUAAUAGUUUUUUUGGUAUUUUUUUUAUUUUAUUUUAUUUUUUAAAAUUGUUUUUAAAAUGAAGGAAGAUGACCAUCCACCUGUCGCCCUCCUAAGGGCCUGUAAACAAGAGGCCGUCUCCAUAACAACCGGAAGCCGUCGCCACAACAACCGGAGGCCGUCGCCAUAACAAAAAGAGGCCGUCGCCAUAACAACCGGAGGCCGUCGCCAUAACAACCGGAGGCCGUCGCCACAACAACCGGAGGCUGCAUCCAUCACAACAAUAGGCUGGUCUCUAAACAACAUGUUCUGCCCCUGUUGUCAUAGUGCCGUCCCCCCGUCCCCCCCCCCAGUCUGGCAGGGCGGGGCUCCAGUCACAGCUGAGAUCCUUUACACUGCAGAGACUCACGUUCUCUACUUUUAAAACACAACGUUGGUGCAAAUACUUCUGUCUUUAAACAUCAAAAACGAGCCAUAAAUCAGCAUCUCUAUAUCGUUAAACUGCUUCUCCACAAUACCACCGGAAGGUAUUUGUGCCAAGGCAGAGAGGAGAGCACACACACACACACACACACACACACACACACACACACACACACACACACACAGUAAGAACGUCCUUGAGUAAACAGCUACAUUGGAACUGGCAGCUCCCUCUGUAUUGCAGAUUAAACACAGAGAAAAAUAACGUUUCAGUGCAAAGUGGAAGAAAAACAACAACAUGACAAUAAAACAACGAAAUAAAACACAGAAAUGAUUGGAAUUCCAAUAACAGGGACCAUGAAUGAAAUAGACACAAGCUUUUUGUUUAGUUUUUUAGGUUUCAGUUUUGAAGCAUAAUAAGGCAUUUUUUGCUGUCCUUCACAUUAUAGAAUUGUCCUGCGUGAUUCAAGUAUACCAACUGAUAUGUGUGUUGUUUAGGAGCGGAAAAACACCGUGGAUAUAUGUGCAGGGAAAAAAACAUAACGCAUUUUCCACAGGGGGGUGACCCCCCACUUCCUGUACGUAUU